This 164-nucleotide ribosomal RNA is filed under the name Illicium lanceolatum. Its description in RNAcentral is "5.8S ribosomal RNA". It matches the Rfam family "5.8S ribosomal RNA". Rfam says of the family: 5.8S ribosomal RNA (5.8S rRNA) is a component of the large subunit of the eukaryotic ribosome. It is transcribed by RNA polymerase I as part of the 45S precursor that also contains 18S and 28S rRNA. The record is from RNAcentral. Lineage: Eukaryota; Viridiplantae; Streptophyta; Magnoliopsida; Austrobaileyales; Schisandraceae.
GAGAUGACUCUCGGCAACGGAUAUCUAGGCUCUUGUCACGAUGAAGAACGUAGCGAAAUGCGAUACUUGGUGUGAAUUGCGGAAUCCCGUGAACCAUCAAGUUUUUGAACGCAAGUUGCGCCCGAGGCCACCAGGCCAAGGGCACGCCUGCCUGGGCGUCACGC